This 32-nucleotide ribosomal RNA is filed under the name Thamnolia vermicularis. RNAcentral's name for it is "partial 18S ribosomal RNA". The record is from RNAcentral. RNAcentral also lists the same sequence under 2 other names. Lineage: Eukaryota; Fungi; Ascomycota; Lecanoromycetes; Pertusariales; Icmadophilaceae.
CCUCCGUUGGUGAACCAGCGGAGGGAUCAUUA